GUACUCGCUUUGGCAGCACAUAUUUUAAAAUUGGACGGAUACAGAGAAGAUUAACAUGGCUCCUGUGCAAGGAUGACAGGCACAUUCGUGAAACAUUCCAUUUUUCA
Molecule: small nuclear RNA, 107 nt
Filed under: Microcebus murinus (gray mouse lemur)
Lineage: Eukaryota; Metazoa; Chordata; Mammalia; Primates; Cheirogaleidae
Source: RNAcentral